Molecule: ribosomal RNA, 495 nt
Filed under: uncultured bacterium
Lineage: Bacteria
Description: partial 16S ribosomal RNA
Rfam family: Bacterial small subunit ribosomal RNA
Source: RNAcentral
GACGAACGCUGGCGGCGUGCCUAAUACAUGCAAGUAGAACGCUGAAGGAGGAGCUUGCUCUUCUGGAUGAGUUGCGAACGGGUGAGUAACGCGUAGGUAACCUGCCUGGUAGCGGGGGAUAACUAUUGGAAACGAUAGCUAAUACCGCAUAAAAUUGAUUAUUGCAUGAUAGUCAAUUAAAAGGUGCAAUUGCAUCACUACCAGAUGGACCUGCGUUGUAUUAGCUAGUUGGUGAGGUAACGGCUCACCAAGGCAACGAUACAUAGCCGACCUGAGAGGGUGAUCGGCCACACUGGGACUGAGACACGGCCCAGACUCCUACGGGAGGCAGCAGUAGGGAAUCUUCGGCAAUGGACGGAAGUCUGACCGAGCAACGCCGCGUGAGUGAAGAAGGUUUUCGGAUCGUAAAGCUCUGUUGUAAGAGAAGAACGAGUGUGCGAGUGGAAAGUUCACACUGUGACGGUAUCUUACCAGAAAGGGACGGCUAACUACGUG